UAGCAAUCAGCCCCUCUGAGUAAAAUGU
RNAcentral lists this non-coding RNA (28 nucleotides) under Rattus norvegicus (Norway rat). Lineage: Eukaryota; Metazoa; Chordata; Mammalia; Rodentia; Muridae. The record is from RNAcentral.